RNAcentral lists this ribosomal RNA (253 nucleotides) under uncultured bacterium. RNAcentral describes it as "partial 16S ribosomal RNA". It matches the Rfam family "Bacterial small subunit ribosomal RNA", at positions 524 to 776 of the family's 1533-position model. The record is from RNAcentral.
UACGUAGGGUGCGAGCGUUGCCCGGAUUUAUUGGGCGUAAAGGGCGCGCAGGCGGCCACGCACGUCCGUUGUGAAAUCGCCCGGCUCAACUGGGCGGGGUCAGCGGAUACGGCGUGGCUGGAGCAAGCUAGGGGGCAAUGGAAUUCCCGGUGUAGUGGUGGAAUGCGUAGAUAUCGGGAGGAACACCAGUGGCGAAGGCGGUUGCCUGGAGCUUUGCUGACGCUGAUGCGCGAAAGCGUGGGGAGCGAUCCGG